AACCACUUGCCGGAACGGCUCGGGAGAGUUUCGGAAGAAAGGAAAGGGAAAAAAGGAGCCGCAUUUUUAUUUAACAGGAGAAGGAGAACAUAAAGAAAAGAAAGGUGUUCUCAAGAACGUAGCCUGCAGCCUUGUCAGGUGGUGGUACAUUCCAGACUACCCUCUGAUAUUGGUAACUGCUUGUCCAAAGAUUCAUGUCUCUAGAAGGAACAGCUGCAAGAAGAAAGCAAGAUGCACAAUUCCACGAUGGAAAGAGAAAUGUUUUCAAUAAAGUCUUUGGAAAAGUCAUCACUCAUGUUGGAAGAGAAAAUAAGGUAAUCUUGAAGUCUAGAAUUAAUUUAGUAUUUGUAUCUGUUUUAAUGUUUUCUAUUGUUUUCUUUUUUUAAAGUUUAUUAUGUAUAUAACCCAAUAAAUAUAAACAGAGUGA
Molecule: non-coding RNA, 427 nt
Organism: Taeniopygia guttata (zebra finch)
Lineage: Eukaryota; Metazoa; Chordata; Aves; Passeriformes; Estrildidae
Source: RefSeq, a predicted model, not a curated record